Molecule: ribosomal RNA, 460 nt
Filed under: uncultured bacterium
Lineage: Bacteria
Description: partial 16S ribosomal RNA
Rfam family: Bacterial small subunit ribosomal RNA
Source: RNAcentral
CCUACGGGAGGCAGCAGUGAGGAAUAUUGGUCAAUGGGCGCUAGCCUGAACCAGCCAAGUAGCGUGCAGGAUGACGGCCCUAUGGGUUGUAAACUUCUUUUAUAUGGGAAUAACGUGCCUUAUGUGUACUGCUUUGCAUGUACCUUAUGAAUAAGGAUCGGCUAACUCCGUGCCAGCAGCCGCGGUAAUACGGAAGGUCCGGUCGUUAUCCGGAUUUAUUGGGUUUAAAGGGAGCGUAGGCGGGUUGUUAAGUGUGCUGUGAAAUGUUCGGGCUCAACCCGGACCUUGCAGCGCGUACUGGCGUGCUUGAGUCCGCGGAAGGCAGGCGGAAUUCGUGGUGUAGCGGUGAAAUGCUUAGAUAUGACGAAGAACCCCGAUUGCGAAGGCAGCUUGCUGCAGCGGAACUGACGCUGAUGCUCGAAAGCGCGGGUAUCGAACAGGAUUAGAUACACGAGUAGUC